AAUGAUAUUGGCAUGAGCAUAGACGAUGCCGCCAUUAUCAGUGUAGAUGACAACAUUAGCUUUGUAUCCGUCAUUGAAAAGACGAUCCCACAUAUCUUUUGUGGCUGUGGGAACGCAGGUGUGCUCUGGAGCUACAUCGUUACGGUAUCUUUUUUGGUGACCAUCAGAUUUUGAAGGAAGAGGUGGAGGGAUCGGUACAGAAGAAGAAUCAGCAGCUUUUUGAAGAUCAACACAAGCCAUCACCAUUUCUCCUUUUUAUCUUUUCCCUCCCUGAAGCAAAACCAAUUGAAACUUUUGAUUAUAUGUUAAAUACAGAGAUCUUUGCUUUUACUUCACACAAUAAAAAUUCUAUGAAUAAUCCAUUAUCAUUUCACAAAUGUUUUUAAAACCUUUAUUUACGAUCAAGAAUCAUAACAUAUCUUUGAAACUUUUUUCAAGAUUCCAUGAAACAGUUUAACCAUAAUCGUUUUUUCCUCACGCAAUACAGAAAAACAAACAAUGGUCGAGAUCAAACACUAGAUAAUUCAAAACAGAUGAAUAGAGAAAAUGUUAAGAAACAAGAACAUACCUCCUUCAAACGAGCUAAGCUAGAAUCUUGAUUCUGACCGAACCGUUAGAGCAAGUUCAAUCAAAAUUAACUCAAUUAUGAGAAUAUAUAUAAAAGUCUCCUCCUUCCUCUAACCAGCAGGAGAAGAAACUCUAUAGAGAAGCUUCAAAACAGAUCACAGAUCUCUUCUCAUUAUAUAAACACAAACACACUCUCGAAACAAGGGAAAGCACACGAGUGUCACCACGGAGGUCUCCUCCUCCUCCACUCCAUACGCCACCUCCACCUCCACCUCCUCCUCCUCCUCAGAUACGGCCAAGAGAUUUCCAGAUACCUCGAAAACUCAGCAAUCCAGAAGCAACGAAGCCAGACGAUCAAUCAAGAAAACUAGCAUUCAAGACUCCAAGUCCUCAAUCGAAAGCUGUUGAAGAGGCCAAAAGUGUAUCAGCUGACGGGGACACGGAUCCAAGCAAGCCAAAGUUGAAGCCACUCCACUGGGACAAAGUACGCGCGAGCUCUGAUCGUGCCACAGUUUGGGACCAGCUCAAAUCAAGCUCAUUCCAGUGCGUAUUACUGUCUUCUGCAUUGUUGUGAAACAUACGUUUGAAUUUUCCGUUUUCGAUAACUAUUUGAAUCUUUGUGGUAUUAUUAAACAGAGUGAACGAAGAUCGGAUGGAGCAUCUGUUUGGUUGCAGUUCAGCAAGUUCAGCUCCAAAGGAACCUGUGAGAAGAUCAGUGAUGCCUCCAGCUGAGAAUGAGAACAGAGUACUUGAUCCAAAGAAAUCUCAGAACAUUGCAAUCCUCUUGAGAGCACUGAACGUAACUCGUGAGGAGGUGUCAGAAGCUCUUUUAGAUGGUAAGUUGUUGUCUCCCACUUGAUUCAUUACUUACGGUAAAGUUACCUUUUGCACAAAGUAACGUUUGGCCUUAACCUAGAUCGUUAUAAGUUAGUAAGCUAUUUGUAUUUAGGUUCCUCUGUUCAACGCAUAACCUGUUCUUAGUUUUGAUGCCUUGAUGGGCUAGUGGUGAUCUUUCUAGUAGCAGGAAUAGUAAUAGAGAUGCUCAUUAGAGGUACUGGUGGUGAAAGGAUAAGUAAUACUAAAAAGGCUUAGGCCACAAGUUAUAAUCAUUGCAAAGAACAAUGACAUAUGAAAUGAUUUUCUCUGCUUUAUAUUGCUUCUUAAUGAUUGCACAACUUAUGAAUUUUCUUUUAAAAAGGUCAUCCGUUGAAUUUUACAGGAGUAGCAAGCAUUAUGUAUAUAUACUUGACAUUCAUUAAGAUUCUCAAAACAUAAAUUGAUUUCUCGUUAUGCAUUGUUCUCUGAGAUGCAAGAAAGCAUUUGGUCUCUAUUAUUGUUGUUUAAUUAAAAAUUUGUGGCACGGUAAUAGGUAAUCCCGAGAGCUUAGGUGCAGAACUUCUAGAGACUUUGGUGAAGAUGGCUCCAACAAAGGAAGAAGAGAUAAAACUCCGAGAGUACUCUGGCGAUGUCUCAAAACUAGGAACAGCUGAAAGAUUCCUUAAAACCAUUCUCGAUAUCCCUUUUGCAUUCAAACGAGUUGAAGCAAUGUUGUAUAGAGCCAGUUUUGAUGCAGAAGUCAAGUAUCUAAGGAACUCUUUCCAGACACUAGAGGUUAGUUAGUCACUCACUAAAUGAUUCAAUCUCUCAAACGAAUUUGUCUUGAUAGUCUCAGUCCCUUAUUUGCUUGUGUAGGACGCAAGCUUAGAACUAAAAGCAAGCAGGCUAUUCCUUAAGCUCCUCGAAGCUGUUCUGAUGACAGGAAACAGAAUGAACGUUGGCACUAAUCGUGGAGAAGCCAAAGCCUUCAAACUCGAUACUCUUUUAAAACUCGUGGACAUAAAAGGAGUUGACGGCAAAACCACAUUGCUUCACUUUGUCGUCCAAGAAAUCACAAAAUCCGAGGCAACCACAACAACAGUAGAUGAAACCAUCGUCCAUGAAAACAAAGACGGUUUCAGAAAGCAAGGAUUACAAGUCGUGGCUGGACUGAGUAGAGAUCUGGCAAACGUAAAAAAAUCAGCCGGAAUGGAUUCCGACGUGCUGAGUGGGUAUGUGACAAAGCUAGAAACGGGUCUUGAGAAACUCCGAGCUUUUGUAAAGACAGAGAUAACAACAACAACAACUCCAGGGAAGUUCUUUGAUUCGAUGAAAACGUUUCUCAAAGAGGCCGAAGAAGAGAUUCGAAAGAUCAAAGGAGGAGAAAGAAAAGCUCUGUCAAUGGUCAAAGAAGUAACGGAGUAUUUCCACGGGGACGCAGCAAAAGAAGAAGCACAUCCUUUGAGAAUCUUCAUGGUCGUGAGAGAUUUUCUCGGAGUUCUUGAUAACGUUUGUAAAGAAGUUAAGACGAUGCAGGAAAUGUCGUCAGCGAUGGGUUCGGCUUCAGCGAGAUCGUUCAGGAUUUCAGCAACAGCUUCGUUACCGGUUCUUCAUAGGUAUAAAUCAAGACAAGAAGAUACAAGCUCAGAUAAUGAACACAGCAGCAACUCUUCUACGUGAUGAAACACACAAAACAAAAGGCUGUACAGUUUCUUACACCGGAGACAAGGGAUUAAGUUGGUGUUUCUCAAACCGGAGGAGAUAUUGAGUUGGUUAACUCGGAGAAUAUGGGCCGGUUCAUGAAGGAACAAACACUACAAUGAUCAAAUUUUCGUUAACAAAUAAGUUUCUUUGUUAAUUUUUCUUUUUUCGUCGGCAGUUGAAAUAUAGAUAGAUAUAUGUAUAAAUAUAUCCUAAUAUCUUGAGGUUAUUAGUGGAGAUUUUGUUUAUUUUGGACGUUAUAAUCUUUAUCCAAUUCAAAAAGUUAGUAGUCGUAUGACCACAUAAGUAGGAAUUAUGAGAUAGGUUAGAAUCGUGUUUACAUCUUUUGUUUCUUGUUGUUUUCUUGUUCUAAAGGAAUCAGAAUCCAAUACGAAUGUACAUAAUAAAAGGAGAUUUGUAAACGAAACGUACGUACAUACAAAUGUAUGGUUGUAAUAUGAGUGCACGGAUUUGAAUUUGAGACGAUGGAUGUUUCCAACAUUAUUUAAUGAAAUACGAACAUGUGAUGUGAGUGAGACCGAUUCUUCUGUACAGCUUGUACCACACGUCUCUCUUUCUUACUGCAUUUGUCCCCUUGUGCGUCACUUUUUUUCUCCCACCACGAUCUUUUCGUUGCAGUUUCCCAUUUUUGGAAGUAUAAAAAAUAACAAAACUAAGUAGGGUCGUAUUAAACUUUGGUAGAUUCCUGCUUUUAUUUUUGUCGUGUUUCUUUCUCAACAAGACACUGAGUUAAAAACAACAAAACCACUAAACCGAAACGAGUAAUCAAGCUCUAUAUAAAUAAACCGGAUCUAACAUUCAUAACCAACCAACUUAUAGAUUUUGACCACCAAAUGUGAUUUUUCUUUCAUUUCAUUUUAUUAUGUUACACUUUUUUUCAGGGAGAAGAUCACAAGAAACGCUUAAAACUCGCCCUUCUUGGGACUGAAGAAAACGAUUAAGACAUGGUGGAGGAAGAGCUGGUCACGGGUAGAAAGAAAGGAGAGGCUCCAAUUUUCUUAGAACCUAACACAUUCUUCACCAGAAGUUUCCAUCUAACCUCAUCCUUCUUGCUCUGUUUCUCCAUCUUCUCCUUAAAGUUUCUGCAUAGUGGGACUCGACACUGAUCAGAAUCAGCGCAAACACGUGAAUGCAACUCGAGGAGUUGCCACAUUCUCUUGCAAUGCACGCAACCUCCCGGAACCCUAAGCUUGCAUCCAGCGAAAUGCCUGAUCAGCGAUUCCAACCCUUUGCAAGCUUCGUAGUGACACGUGGCGUGGUUCGGUUUCAAAUCUUUAUCGUGUGGUCCUAUAGUUUUACACCCGUCUCUGCAUAUAUGAACAAGCGCUUCCAUCGCUUCGUAUAGCUGCGAGUAUAUCCUCUCUUCAUUGCGUUUUCUGAUCCUCUCUUUCCGAGCCUGCACAUAUGUUUAACAACGUUUUAGAAAAAAAAUGGUAACGAGCCAGAGUUGAAAAAUGUAAUUAAUUACUUACGUUUUCUUCGAUGAAGACAGAGUCUCUAAGUUCUUUCUCGAGAAAGGGAUGGCUUUUCUUCAUAGCUGUCCAUGCUUCUGUCGCGUAAAGCUCCUUGAAGUGUUUCAUGAUCAUACGGUGAGAUAUAACGCUGAGCCGAGGGAAAUCACAUAGCAGGGCAAGCUGGAAGACGUCGAUUACGUUCUCAGUGGUGAGCAAACCAUGUUCUAGAUGCCAUUCGCAGACCCGUUUCAGCUGAGGAACCACGUACGCGUGAGACAGAAGCAGCAAGUGCAUGAUGUACUCAUUCAUCUCUUCUUUCUUAUAGCUACAAAAAAAGAAAGAAAGUCAGGUUUAAUAAAAACUAAGAGAAUGUUAAAAGAAGAGGUAAAUAUUAUAGAGAAGUGUACCAAGAAGAGUAGAGGAAACGAAUGAAAACUCGGACAGCUUCAUGAGGGACGCCACGGAUUGAGAUUGUAUACCACUUUCCAUGUUUUUUGGCUUGCUUCAACAUGCCUUUGAUCACACUUGAAGCAGUCCCCUGUUAAAUUAAAAACCAACAAAAAAAAAGACUUAAAGUCUAACCUAGAGAUCCAAACAAUACAAGGAUCAAUAUAAGAUUUCAAAGGAGAGAGCAUUACAAUGAUAUUGGCAUGAGCAUAGACGAUGCCGCCAUUAUCAGUGUAGAUGACAACAUUAGCUUUGUAUCCGUCAUUGAAAAGACGAUCCCACAUAUCUUUUGUGGCUGUGGGAACGCAGGUGUGCUCUGGAGCUACAUCGUUACGGUAUCUUUUUUGGUGACCAUCAGAUUUUGAAGGAAGAGGUGGAGGGAUCGGUACAGAAGAAGAAUCAGCAGCUUUUUGAAGAUCAACACAAGCCAUCACCAUUUCUCCUUUUUAUCUUUUCCCUCCCUG
Molecule: long non-coding RNA, 5470 nt
Filed under: Brassica napus (rape)
Lineage: Eukaryota; Viridiplantae; Streptophyta; Magnoliopsida; Brassicales; Brassicaceae
Description: long non-coding RNA (BNAP_LNC012313)
Source: RNAcentral